GGGGAUAUGGCGAAAUCGG
Molecule: transfer RNA, 19 nt
Filed under: Magnolia iltisiana
Lineage: Eukaryota; Viridiplantae; Streptophyta; Magnoliopsida; Magnoliales; Magnoliaceae
Also listed under: 8 other names
Description: partial tRNA-Leu
Source: RNAcentral